UCCGAGUUGACCCCGGCAGUCUCCUGCGAGUCCCCGCCAUUACGCGCUGGCAACACAGGACAAGGGUUGCGCUCGUUGCGGGACUUAACCCAACAUCUCACGACACGAGCUGACGACAGCCAUGCACCACCUGUCAUGGGCCCUUACGGACACCGUAUUUCUACGGCUUUUCCCAUGAUGUCAAGCCCAGGUAAGGUUCUUCGGGUUGCAUCGAAUUAAGCCGCAUGCUCCGCCGCUUGUGCGGGGACCCGUCAAUUCCUUUGAGUUUUAGCCUUGCGGCCGUACUCCCCAGGCGGGACACUUAAUGCGUUAGCUUCGGCACGGAGGGAGUCGACACCCCCCACACCUAGCACUCAUCGUUUACGGCGUGGACUAC
Molecule: unclassified non-coding RNA, 376 nt
Filed under: uncultured Acidimicrobiia bacterium
Lineage: Bacteria; Bacillati; Actinomycetota; Acidimicrobiia
Description: contains 16S-23S intergenic spacer region
Source: RNAcentral